Molecule: long non-coding RNA, 483 nt
Organism: Lynx canadensis (Canada lynx)
Lineage: Eukaryota; Metazoa; Chordata; Mammalia; Carnivora; Felidae
Exons: 3
Source: RefSeq, a predicted model, not a curated record
AGGGACCCUGUCAUGCCCCAACUUCCCCUAGGGCAGCCCAGCAGACCCCCAGCCCAGGACAGGGAGAGGACACAAGAGGGGCAGACGCGCACGGCUGGACCCAGGCAGGCGUCCUAGAUCGACACUCACAGGUUGUGCUUGUGAAUCAGGAUGAAAAGUCCGUUCAAGGCCAACAGGCUGAUGGCGCCCCCUGCAGACCAACGUGCGGCUGAGAAGCCUCAACGAGGCCUGCUCCCCGCCACCCGCGCCGAACUAAAAACCCAGAACUGGAGAAGUUCCAGCAAAGCGAGAAGAAACGCGCACCUAGAACACGGCCGCAGAGCAGCCGGGGAACAGCGCACCCAGGGCCGCACGUGGCAACGACACCGGCACCCAGGAGCCCGCUAAGAGCCUGGGAGCCAGGUACUCCUGGAACCGCGACACCAGCAGCGAGUGGUCCUCCUCCGGAGACAGCAGGCCUUCCACCACCGACUGGCGGGCCGG